This 1184-nucleotide long non-coding RNA is filed under the name Mus musculus (house mouse). RNAcentral describes it as "long non-coding RNA chr9:85845869-85847053". The record is from RNAcentral. Lineage: Eukaryota; Metazoa; Chordata; Mammalia; Rodentia; Muridae.
UUUUUUUUUUUUUUUUUUGUUUGUUUUGGUUUUUUGUUUUGUUUUGUUUUUUAAAUAAACUGCAUUGAGAUCCAACAAACUGGAUUGUUAUAAAAAAAAUCAAUAAAAGAAUCUUAAAAGAAGCAUGUUGUGUUUAACUUUGGUAUUUUGAAAGGAGGAUUAAGGGCAAUGGUAUUGAAUAGUCUGGAUUCAAAUAAUACUGGAGUUAUUAGUUAGCAGAGCUGAGAAUCAGCCUGGAGCAGUGCCUUCAUAUAAAUAGACUGGAGAGAAUUCUGAAAUGAUGGAUUCUUUUAGGGCUUAAGUGGAAUUAAGGUUAUUUAUAGGGUCAUAGUAUUAGAGGUCCCCAAGUUAACGGUGUUCAUUAUGUGUUAUUUAAAAGAGCAUUGGGAGGUUGGUAAUAGUGAAGAGUCCUUUAUGGUAAACAUGUCACAGCUGCCACUUUGUCUAGACUAAUUUAGUUGCUGAGACAGAAUCAUUAGCCAAACUGAAUGAAGUUGCUCCAUGGAAUUUGAGAGCCAAGUGUGAGUCAUGUGGUGGCAAUAAAUGUGUGAAAAUAAAGUAUCUUAAAAUAUUUUGAAGUAAAAAAAAUCUUAAAAGACAAAUUAAGAACAGUAUUUUCAGAGAUCAUAAAUUGUAGUUCAGAGAGCCUCGAGAAUCUGCUUUUAAAUUUUCAAAGUGGAACAUUGUGUUUCUUGGAGUUAUUAUGAUUGUGUUUAAGGAAAUAACCAAAGAUACAUCCUUGUAUCUAGAGACAAAUAUUAUAAGUAGUUAUUAGAUUCUUAUGUUCAGUAUUUAAGAAUUUGAGGGCUUUUUAAAGAAGGCCCCUCAGCUCUGAGCACCAUGUAAGUAAAUGUAUAUACCUCCAUAAGGAAUAAAUCAUACUUAGGUAUAAAUUAAAGCAAUUUCUCAUUAACAUUCUUGUCAUCCGAUACUCUUGUCUCGUCUCUAUCCCGCCACCCCUCUGCCAUCAUGUGCCACUUACAGUGAACAGGAAGUGUCGUUAACCUGUCUCCAGGCCAUCGAUUGAAGGAACUGAGGUUCAACUUUUACUUCAGAUAGGAGGUCACUUGCGUCAAUAAAUGUUAAGACCCGUUUUCAUGCUAAGUGAUUCAUGUCUACAUUUGCUUUACAUGUGAAAUAAAACUUACGAUUUGCUGUUUUUAUAAAUAAAGUGGCUCAGGUUA